GACUUAGAUACGACAUUCAAAGCACAAGCAACAAAAGGAAGAAAUGGACAAAUUGGACUCAUAAAAAUUAAAAAUUUUUGUACCACAGGUGGUGUCAUUAAGGAAGUGGAAAGACAAUCCAUAGAAUGGGAAAAAUAUUUGCAAAUAAUAUAUCUGAUAAGGGACUCGUAUACAGAAAAUAUAAAAACUGUACAACUCAAUAAUAAAAAGACAAAUAGUGCAAUCUUACAAAAGGGCAAACGAUCUGAAUAGACAUUUCUCCAAAGAAGAUAAACAAAUGGCCAGUAAGCACAUGGAAAGAUGCUCAGUUUUGUUAGUCAUUAAAGAAAUACAAAGCAAAAUCACAGUAACAAACCACUACGUACCCACGAGAUGUCUAGAGCCAAAAAGAUAGACAAUAGUAAGUGUUGAUGAAGAUGUGGAGAAAUUGCAACCUUCAUGCAUUGCUGUAGCUACUUUGGAAAACAGUGUGGCAAUUCCAAGUUAAAUGGAGUUACCAUGUGACCCAGGAAUUCCACUCCUAGGUAUAUAUCUGAGAAAUGAAAACAUAUGUCCUCAUGAAAACUCGUCCAUGAAUGUUCAUAGCAGCAUUAUUUAUAGUAGCUGCAAAGCAGAACAACCCAAGCACCCAUCAUCUGAUGAAUGGAUAAACAAAGUGUGGUUUAUUCAUACAAUGGAAUAUUAUUUGGCAAUAAAAAAUAACAGAAAACUGAUAUAAGCAACAAUACUACGACAUUAAUGAAUGUUGAAAAAGUUAUUCGGAGUGAAAGAAGACAUUACAAAAUACCACAUACUGAAUGACUUCACUCAUACAAAGUGUCCAGGAUAGACAAACCUGUGGAGAUGGAAAGCAGAUUCCUUGUAGGGCUGGGGGUGACAGGUGGGAGUGACUGGGAGUAACUGCUCAUGGGUACUGGGCUUCUUUGUCAGGUUAUGGAAAUGUUCUAAACUCAGGCUAUGGUUAUGGUUAUACAAUACUAUACUAAGAACAUUGUUUUGAGUGAAUCAUAUGGCUGAUAAAUUUUAUCUCAAUAAAGCUGGUUUUAUUUUUAUUUUCUUAAAGUCA
This 1066-nucleotide long non-coding RNA is filed under the name Homo sapiens (human). RNAcentral describes it as "HSALNT0360446". Lineage: Eukaryota; Metazoa; Chordata; Mammalia; Primates; Hominidae. The record is from RNAcentral.